CUAAAAAGAAAAGAAUAAAUUUGUAUUUUUUUCUUGUUUUUCUAAUUUUUGUAAGAAAUACGAAUAUCUAUACUAGUAUGGUCAUUCGGUGAUUUUUACACAGU
This 104-nucleotide non-coding RNA is filed under the name Corethron pennatum. Lineage: Eukaryota; Bacillariophyta; Corethrophyceae; Corethrales; Corethraceae. The record is from RNAcentral.